RNAcentral lists this ribosomal RNA (468 nucleotides) under uncultured bacterium. Its description in RNAcentral is "partial 16S ribosomal RNA". It matches the Rfam family "Bacterial small subunit ribosomal RNA", at positions 28 to 507 of the family's 1533-position model. The record is from RNAcentral.
GACGAACGCUGGCGGCGUGCUUAACACAUGCAAGUCGAACGGAAAGGCCCUGCUUUUGUGGGGUGCUCGAGUGGCGAACGGGUGAGUAACACGUGAGUAACCUGCCCUUGACUUUGGGAUAACUUCAGGAAACUGGGGCUAAUACCGGAUAGGAGCUCCUGCUGCAUGGUGGGGGUUGGAAAGUUUCGGCGGUUGGGGAUGGACUCGCGGCUUAUCAGCUUGUUGGUGGGGUAGUGGCUUACCAUGGCUUUGACGGGUAGCCGGCCUGAGAGGGUGACCGGCCACAUUGGGACUGAGAUACGGCCCAGACUCCUACGGGAGGCAGCAGUGGGGAAGAUUGCACAAUGGGCGGAAGCCUGAUGCAGCAACGCCGCGUGCGGGAUGACGGCCUUCGGGUUGUAAACCGCUUUCGCCUGUGACGAAGCGUGAGUGACGGUAAUGGGUAAAGAAGCACCGGCUAACUACGUG